This 407-nucleotide ribosomal RNA is filed under the name uncultured bacterium. Its description in RNAcentral is "partial 16S ribosomal RNA". It matches the Rfam family "Bacterial small subunit ribosomal RNA", at positions 28 to 526 of the family's 1533-position model. The record is from RNAcentral.
GACGAACGCUGGCGGCGUGCCUAAUACAUGCAAGUAGGACGCAGUUGCGAACGGGUGAGUAACGCGUAGGUAACUACCUAUUAGAGGGGAAUAACUAUUGGAAACGAUAGCGAAUACCGCCUACUAGUAGAUGGACCUGCGUUGUAUUAGCUAGUAGGUAGGGUAAUGGCCUACCUAGGCAACGAUACAUAGCCGACCCGAGGUGGUGAUCGGCCACACUGGGACGGAGACACGGCCCAGACCUCUACGGGAGGCAGCAGGAGGGAAUCUUCGGCAAUUGGGGGAACCCUGACCGAGCAACGCCGCGUGAGGUAAGAAGGUCUUCGGAGCGUAAAGCUCUGUUGUUAAGGAAGCGGUACUUAACCAGAAAGGGACGGCUAACUACGUGCCAGCCGCCGCGGUAAUAC